GACAGGCGCGCUCAUCUCGGUGGGACUGAACGCAUCGAAGACCGGAGACGGGGGAGAAGAUCACCCGGUAAAGUGUCCGUCAGGAGCCUCAGACCGCGGGGAACGAUGCUCAGGACGAGUCUGUCCGCGGGCAGCAGUACUUAAAAAGCUGCGGUCCAUCCAUCAGGACACUUUUUACUCUCGCCCCUUCCUCUCUGAUCAGGAAGAUAAGAAUCCAGGCAGUCAUCCUCCAGCUCACAGUCCUCUUUGGGCACCUAACCCCAGUUUGACAGCCAGUCUGGUUCAAUCCCAGCACGAUGUGGAAGACUGUGAUCCUCCUGCUGAUGUGGGUGUCUCUGGCGUCCGGAGAACUCCAACAAGAGACGGAGCAGCGGAGACUGCCACCCCCGGGAAAGUUGGAUUUCGGUUAUGUGCCUGCGGGAGUUUACGAGACUCUGGCUCACUACGAACCGGGACCGAUAGGGAUCCUGUUCCACAUGGUGCACGCGUUUCUGUAUGUCGUGCAGCCCAACGCUUUCCCGCAAGAACUUAUUGUCAAAUUGGCGAAGGACAAGUUUGGAGCCAUUCAGACGGAAUACCAAAAGCCAGAGAACAUAGUGCUGACCCUUCAGGCCAUCUACUACGAGAUAGGCUUCCUGGUUUGUGCAGCAGUCGGCCUGCUCUUCACCAUUCUGGUGCCGAUAGUCGGCCUCUUCUUCUGCAUGUGCCGCUGCUGUGACAACUGCGGCGGCGAGAUGCACCAACGCCAGAGGAAGAAUGCGGACUGCCGACGAGGCCUGUUGGGAACGCUGCUCUUCUCCACCUCACUGGUCAUCACGAUCGGAGUGCUGUGUGCAUACGCUGCCAACCAGAACCUGAGCUCACAGGUGAAGAACAUACGGAGACUGGUCAACAGCAACAUGAGGGACCUGCACACCUUCGCUAAUGACACGCCGAUGCAAAUUGAUUACCUAAUAUCCCAAUACACCACCGCCAAGAACAAAGUCAUCUAUGACCUAGAUAAUAUAGGUCCAUUAUUGGGUGGACGGAUACACGAUCAGUUGGAUAAGGAAGUCCAUCCUGCCUUGGACAGAGUGCUCAAUAUGGCUGGAGUGAAAAUCGAGAGAGCCAUCAAAGCCAUGCGAGAAACCAAAGAGGCCCUGGAGAACGUCAGUGUGGGUUUGGAGGUUCUCCAGGAGGGAACAGGGAAGCUCAACUUCAACCUGAGUCUGGUCCGCACCAGUAUCAACCGCACCCUCAACGACCCGGGCUGUCAUGACGAGGAGUCAGACGCCACCACUGCACAGCUGUGCCGCAACAUCCGCCAGUCACUGUCCCAGCUGCAGAUCGGAGCCAACUUCACACGGUUACCCAAAGUGAACGCUCAGCUGCAAAAGGUGAACGAUGUACUGAAAACGGACCUCAGUGCCAUCGUCCAAAGGGGCUACGUCUCUUUAAACAACACACCACAUAUGGUGGUUGAACAGACCAGAAGUGUUGUGGAGAAUGUGCAGAGUUUGGUGGACGGCAUUGGCAACAACAUCAGCAGCUUUUCCAAGGUGUUCCCUGUGCAGAGCUGCCUGGCCAACUUCACCAUCUUCAUCAGCCAUGCUCAUGCUAAGAUUGAGGACUACUACCCUGAGAUUGACAAACUGGACUUCUACAGGUGGAUUGGCUGCAUUGCUCUUUGCUGCAUGGUGGUUCUGGUCCUGGCCUUCAACUACCUGGGCCUGCUGUGUGGCACCCUGGGCUACGACAAGCACGCCUCACCUACGACACGAGGCUGCAUCUCCAACACGGGAGGAACGAUGCUCAUGGCCGGCGUCGGAUUUAGCAUCAUCUUCUCCUGGGUGCUGAUGGGAGUGGUAACAAUCAUCUUCUUGGCUGGAGGAAACAUGGAGAAACUUGUUUGUGAACCCUUUCACAGCAAGGAAAUCUUCAAUGUUGUGGACACCCCGUAUUUGGUUAACCCAGAGUGGAAAAACUUCAUCCCUGGCUACAUGUACAACGACUCCGACCUGGAGCUGACAGCAGAGAGCUUGUACAGCACUUGCAAAGAGAACAAAGGCAUCUACUCAGCCAUGCGUCUGGACAAAGUCUUCAACAUCUCCUUGUUCCUGAACACUACAGUGUUUACUAAGGAUGUGGUGAGUCAGCUGGAGAGUGUUAAGAUCGACCUGAGGGGAAUAAUCCUGUUAGAGGCAGAAGGGAAGCAGAACCUCCUGGACUUCUCUGAAGCUGGACUGUCAGAAAUCAACUAUGCAGACUACCUGGAAGAGGUCAACAAAGGAGUCACUUUGGUGGACCUGCUCUCAUAUGCCAGAGAGUUGGAGGCCCAGACAGACCUCAUGCCCAGAGGCGCUCUGCAGACUGCUCUGAAAGGCCACAUCGGCACUCUGCGGCAGAUCCACACUCAACAGAUCAUCCCUAUGGAGCAGGCCAUGAAAUAUGUUAGAGCGAGGAGCGCACUGAACCAGAGUAUGAGGUUCCUGGAGAGAACAGCCACAGACCUGCCCAACAAAGUUUUAGCAGUUCUUGAUGCCAUUGAUGCUGCGCAGUACCUCAUCUCACAGAAUGCUUCACACUUAAUCAAUCGGGAAACGGGGAAAUACACAGCAACUAUUGUUGGCUACUUCCAUCAAUACAUAGAGUGGGUCAAAACAUCCUUGGCUAUGGAAGUUGCACCAUGCAAGCCCUUCAGCAACAUGGUGGACACGGCAGAUAUCAUUGCUUGCAGUUUCUUGGUCGACUCCAUGAACACAUUCUGGAUGGGCCUGGGCUGCAGCACUCUCUUUCUGCUCCCAAGCAUCAUCCUCGCAGUGAAACUAGCCAAGUACUACCGCAGGAUGGACACAGAGGAUGUUUACGAUGAUUCCUCUGUUUCUGGGACUUGGCAUUUUACUUUGUGAUAACCAUUUCUACUAUUUCCAUCUUCCAUAUCUUUUUUGUUGUUUUUUUUUGUUUCAUUCCUCUCUCUCAAGCACUUGGCACUUUACAAAGAAACACUGACGCUUGUCAAUUUAUAUUUAUUCUCUCAUGGACCUUUUGUUCGCUCAUUUAAUCGUGGCUUUACACAAAUACAACGUAAUGUCUCGAUCAGUGGCGUCUGUCGUCAUGUGAUCUGUGCUGGGUUAAAGGCUUUCUGACUUUCUGGUGCAUUUCUAUCGCUGAGCAUUUCAAUAACAUUUUUAUGUUGGUUUUUUUUGUGUAUCUUUAUAGCAUUGAGACAAUUCCCAUGAAAACGUAAGAUAUUUUACCCACCUCCCUCUCCCUUUCAGCUCCUAUCACUCUGUGCUUUUCUCUGGAUCUUGUACAUAGACUUGUUUACUAAAUUCUUGGUGCUGGUUUACGUUUUUAAGCUUGGAAUUGCUCUUAUGGGUGGAUGGUGUGGCUUCUUGUCGUGUGCUACCUUUGAAAAGUGCCCCUUACCUUUCACGAAGGGCUCUUGCAAUCAUUACCUUACAAGUCCACCUGUUUUUUGUAAGUUAUAGUGUAAAUAAAACGCUAUAGUUUAUACUCAAAAAAUAUUUAUCUCUUAACAUCUUGAAAAGUUUGACUACUCAAAAAGAAAAGCAUUUUUACUCUAAAACUUUAAUCAGCAUGUCUCUCACAUUACAUUUUUCAUCCCUUUUUUGUAUACAAUAUUUUGUUUUCAGUAUGGAAAUUGGUAAUAAUGGUUAUCAUAGUGAGAGCUCACAAGGUAUCCCAAAUCCUAUGAUAACAAGGUAAACAUUAUAAUAAUCCUGUUAUUGCAUGUUAUGGGCGGUGGAGGCAUGCCUGGGGACGUGGGCUUUUUACACGCAAAAUGACGUGGCUGGACAACUGUGCAUGCCUUUGAGGGAUUUGAUGUAUUACGCACAUUCACACACACAAAUUUAUGGAGGUCAGCAAACUGAACAGUAAGAUGAAAGCUGACAAGUAAUGGUAGCUUUUCUUGAAAAACAUCCAAUAUGACAUUUAGUAUUUUAAAUCUAAAAAGUACCUUUAAGAGCUUUAAAUAGAUUUAUCAAAGAAUUUCAAGGAAUAUUGCAACAAUUUGGGAUACAGGUAUUUCAGUUUUCUUUCUUGGAGUUAGAUGAGAAGAUUGGCACCACUCUCAUGUCUGUGUUAAGUAGAGCCACACGUAGCCUGGUUUAGCAUUUAGACUGGAACCAAGAGAAAACAGCUAGCCUGGCUCUGUCUAGAAUGGAAAAAAAAUAAGCUUACCGACAACUCUAAAGCUCGCAUAGUGUGCUGUAUCUGGUGGACAAGAGCUAGGCACAUUAACUUUGGUGACUGGUAGACUCAGGGAGUGGGGAACAGAGGGGCAGGUCACCCUCCUUGGUGUCCCAAUGUUCUUCGACACCCCUAUGGUAGAAUAAACAUGAUAAAGUCCCCUCUAGGGUGCCCUUCAUUCAAAGAAAACGUGAUGCAGAGCUAUAUAGGCUGCCCUACAUGCUAGAAAACUUUCUGCAUGCUCUUGGCCCACCACAUGCAGCCGGUGCCCUUUCUAAGGCAGCCUAAGUCCAUCACUGCUUUGGUGUCCCAUUGUUCAUCAAGAAACUGUUUCAGCACAAAACUUCCCCUAAAACCUGCAAAUUGUUCUUUUUUAUGGUUCCCACAGGAUGAAUCCUACUGACUUUUGGUGGUUACAUCUGUAGUUUUUAGUGAUAUGUCAUGGCAUGAAAUGGACCUUUGUCAUAGCAAACAUUUUGACUUAUCAUAGUAGGAAAAGCACAGGUGUUACUAAUGACACUCAGUACUAUUCAAGAGUCCACUGGCAUUGUGAGCAUGUCAGCAUUUAGCUCAAAGUACUGCUAUGUUUAAGUACAGCCUCACAGAGCUGUGUUGAUUACAUUUCUGAUUAUCUACAAAUAAACAAGACACUACAUGUUAAUUAUUGAGCUUUAGAGGUGCUGCAAAUGGUAUUUUUGAUCUUUGGAGAGAGCCAGGCUAACUGCUUCCUGCUACCUGUCUUUAUACUAAGAUAACAAUGUCCUUGAACUGAGCUCUGUACUUAACACACACACGAGAUUAGUGUGAAUUGCUGUUGUAAAUUUUUCAGUCAGUCUCAUGUUAAUAAUGUUGCUACCAUUACUUCUCUUAUUGCCAGAUGUCCUGCUUUGUGGUUUUUGGGGGAGUCUUCCAUGUAUCACUAACCUCCUGCAUGCUCUGUAUGUGCACUGGGAUGUUGAUGUGGAAUGAAAAAUCUUCCUGUUUCCUCUCAUUUAGAGUCAGCCAAAGUCCGAUGAAUGUACACCUGAUCAUUUUGUUCAGAGAGAGGCAAGCAUGUCAAGCUUUGGUGUGAUGCUGCGAAUGCUGCUCCUUUGAUUUUCUUAUUAAUCUAACAAAACGUCUAACUGCAUGAUACGUAUUUUUAAGUUGCACUGGGACGAGGAUGCGUUUGGACAGACAACCAACUGUAACAGAAGAUAACGGAAGAGAGCAAAACAGCUACAGCAGACAUCUUUACUUUCACAAUUAUCUUUAAACUUAUUUAACAUGUCUCUUACAUGAGUGGAGUUUUAUUCCAAAUGGUGCUAUCCAGUUUUUGAGUGACUGCUGAAAAGUAAAACCCAAAGACAAUACUUUAUUUGCCAUUUUGUGGUCUUUACUUGAACAUUUUUCAAAGAUGGAAUUGUCUUUUUUUUUUCUGUGAUUUACUUCUAUAUUUUUCUCAAAAUGGAUACAAGAUGGUGGACUGAAACUUGUAAAUCAUGUCCAAAAGGCCGUCAUAAUUUUUAAAAGGGGCAAUGAGUAAUAUAUGACCUCUACUGACCUUUAUCAACAAACACUAGCUACUGGAACACUGACACUUCAUCCUCCAGGUUCAGCCAGGUACCACCACUUUGUCGCGCCCCUUCGCAUGUGAUAUGAACAGUCCGUUUAGGAUGGGAAGAAAGGGGAGGUGAAUAGGUCAAACAAAACCAGACUUUCAUCCAGGAGACCAAAGUUUGUGUCCCGUGUGAAAGCAUAAGUCAGUGUUGUUUUAACGUAACAUUACACUACCGUCGCUGCAUACUGACGUCACUCACUCAGCAUAUUCACGUCACGCUAUGUAACAUUCUACUUAUUUAAACCCAAAACAUGAGCUGUUUUUUAAAUCUAACACAGUACUUUAGUUGCCUAAAUGUAACCGUGACCUUUUCACAAUAUGAACCACCUGUCAACAAUGUGUUUUAGUUGCGUGUCACAUAGAUGCGCUCAAGGAUUCCCUAUGCAUCACUAUGAGACGCCAAGGGGCGUGACAAAGAGUUGGCGAUUAACCUGAAAAUGAGAACGGGUUGGAACACAAUGGGAGUGUGUGAAUAAAAUUUUGAGAGCCUGAUAUCUAAUCUCUGGUGAACUAAUUCUUGCGUCACUGAUAUUGAUCGACAACCCCAUAAAACACCAAGUAAUAUAAUUAUCUUAUAGUUUCAGAGAGGAACAACUUUACGUAUUGCCCCUUUAACUGACCGUACAGUUUGUCAAUCUUGAUGUUGGUGAAGCUGUUCUGCUCUCUGCCUUGUGAACCCCUCGUCCUGCUUCUCUUUGCUCAGUAAAAGAAGAGAAGCAAGCAGCAGUUGUUGAGUUUUUUUCUGUGGCUCUUAAUAUUUUUUCCUCUGCAUGUCGUUCUGUGCCGGUAGCAUCCCUACCUAUGACACUAUGAACAGGUUCCCGCGGGCCUCGGCUCCUCCGAGGCACAUCGACUGGUGACAGAGAGCCAGCUCGUGUUCUGGCUCCUGAAAGCCUCUUUUAGUGCUUUUCUGCUCACAGUGACUUUGCAGGAAAACCAUCAUGUGCCCUUGAAAACUGGAACUAAAAUACACCAUACUGUUGGUUUAUCGACCCCUCGGACAAGAAGAAGCCCAAUAAAAGCUGGUUUCCUUACAACAGAAGAAGAACACACAAAGCCCUCUGGGAUUUUAUUUUUCUUCAGCGAUCAACUCAACCUCCUCAACCAGGCAGAUCACAGCCUCCGGUACAGUUACCUGCACCCUCUCCGAAAAACUCUGCCUGCAGGACAUCAAACUCUUCUCCCUCAGCAUCAAUCUGAGCCACGCUUGUACUGCUUUUUUUUUUCAAAGGACUGCUGUGUCUGCGUUUACAUUUGUUCAGACACAAAACCACGCUGAAAAAUACAUUCAGCAAGAGGACAUGACAAUAACUGCGAUGCCUGUUCAUAUAAAUGUUUGUGCUGAAGAAGACAGUGGCUGAAAGGUCACCCGAAAGUCAUGGCAAGCUGCUACAGGAAACUUUUAGUCCUGCACUUAGAUUGGAUGUAUCACAUUCAACACAAGCUAAUGCUAAAGGUGGAACAGUCUGUCAAGACAUCUACAAGGAAAGGUGCAAAUUAAGAUGAAAUUCAAUGUGUUAAAAAGCACUGCUUUGUUGAGGAAGAAGCAUCCUUUUUAACUGCAGCAUGUGUGAGUUGGUUGGUGUGUGUGUUCCUUAAUGACUGAGAACUGGAUGAUUUAAACAAAGUGGUAAAAAUACAGAAACAGGUUGGUCCCAGGUGGAUUCUUAUAAUUAAUAUUAAGAAAUUUAGCAUGACUUAAAAAAAAAAUGUUUACAGUAUCACAAAACAGUUUUGAGUUCCUUGCUGGUUUUUGGGCGAAUUGCAAAUGACUGGUUGCCUUUCAGAAGUAUGUUUUUUUUGACAGAUAUGCUUCUUUUAAAAGGGGAAAUCCACCCACAGCUCUUACACUGCUAAAAAUAACCAACAUGUCAUGUUAUUUUGUGGUAUGGUGUUCAAAAUAUACAUUUUACUUUUUUAGCAUAUGCAUUUUCCCUUAACUUGUGUCAUCUACUCUUCAUUUCCUACAUUUCCCAAAAUCUAUUUAAACAUCCCUCAAUUUAUAAUAGGUGGGGAAAAAAAGGUGGGACAAACAUCACAGCCUGACAUGGCUUGUUGCUGCUUUCUGGUCUACUUAAACUUAUGUCAGUAUGUUUGUUUCUUUUAAGGAAUUGCUAAAAAAAAAUAAAAAUAAAAAAUUUAUAUAUAUAUCUAUAUAUAUCAGUGUUGGACAAAGUGUUGGUGCUUAGUCCUGAGUACAUUUUGGACCAAUAGUUCCCAAAUGUUUUGGUUAAUUACCAAUCAAAAUUAAGGAAUUUAUAGAUGCAGACCCUCCUCACAGGUAAGAAGUUUAACCAAAGAGUUAUUUUCCAAGCAGAGAUUGAUUUAUGUGAAUAGUUUUUGACACAUAAAAGCUACUUCCUUUCCUGCCUUUCAAUCAUCUCCAGAGCCUUCAGCCAUAUUUUCAGACCAUUUAGGGAGUCCCAGGUUGGAUACAAGACUACAACCAUAUACCACCAAAAACAAGACAAAUCAGCAGUAUAAGUGUGUAAGGUGGAUUUUCCCUUUAAUUCUCAUGAAGUCAGAGCAUAACUUCUUUAUAUAUCACUCACUAUGACAGAAGUGUCAGGCUUAUAGAUUGUUCCUAGGUGAUGAAUUGAUCAACAGAAGCUAUCAUGUUGAGUUCACUAACAUGAGAUUUUUCUUGCUCUCAUAGUAAUGAUACAUUUUAAUUGGAGAAAUACUUUCUCAAGCCAAAUUGUUUUUUUACUGUAGGUCUCAGGUUUUUAGUGAUCUAUCAGCUAUAUGCUUAUUUUGUUUCUGCUUUUUAAAACCCCACAGUAGCUAUGGAUACAUUUAAAAAAAACUAUAAGGAACGAGUGAAUGUAUUCAAGAGCUAUUUUUUAUUUUGUAUAACUUGAUGAAGUUGGCUGAGAAAUAUGCUGAAGUCUUGUCACUAACGCAUUGGGCAAGCCAAUCUGGUUAUUCCACCCACCUCGCCGCCUCCACGUUUACAGGUUAGAUUUGCAGCUGCUGUCGGCUACAUACAGUAGUAACGAUGGUGGAAAAUUAGACAAUCCAUUCAUGGGACAAGUCAAAUGGUAGAAAACGAGUAGAAUGCUUUACGGUUUACACAGCUGAUGGGGUUGAUGCACACUGUGAGAAAAUAAUGUCCAUCUUAACACUGAAAGUUUAAACUACACACAUUUAGCUAACUGAAUAUGCUAACGAUGUAACAGCAGAACAAGCUAGCCCACAGCACUUACUUGACAGUAACAAAUCUAACUUUACAGUACUAAAGAAUAUGAUUGUACAUUUAAUCUAGUAAAAAAAAAUGACAACAAGAUUUAAUAGAUAUGUAUAUUUCAAUAUUUUCACUGUAUUUUAGUGAUUUUAAGAAAGAGCAGACACCAUUUUGGAAAAACUUUGAUGCUAGCUUCUUUAGUCCGUUAGCAUCAACACUGUCAAACUUAAAACCAGAAAACAACAGAAAAUAUGACAUCUCCCAUAACUUACUAACAAAUAACUAACUAAUAGGUAUAUAAUUUUAGAUAAGAGUUUGGGCCACACAAAGAUAAGUGUUAUCGGGUUAGUUAGCUAAUAGCUUUAGUUAUAAAGCUAGCUUUCUUGUUCUACACACAGUAUUGUGCACAUAUUAAUAAUAAAUAUAAGCAGUAUACCAUACAUACUGCAUACACCUGUGUUCAAGAUUACAUCUUACUGUGAUGUAAAUUCAAAAUGGCUCCAGUUAGCAUAAGAUUAUCUAACAGUUUCUUACUUCUUUCCUGUUAAGACGGACAUUUUUUAAGUAUCUGUGUGCUCACUCUGACAGGACUAUCAUUCUUGUCUGCUAGCAUCUGGAUGUGACCCAUCUUGAAAAAAAAAAUAGGGUCUGAUUUUCCUUGAAGUGCUUAAACUAGAUGUUGCAUAUCCAAACCUACAGGACAGAUACUGGUUUGGUUUACUGGUAACUGGUGUGAACUGCGAUGCUCCAAAGUUGGGCACUGAUGGAGCCACUGAAGAGGAACUUUAUAUGUGGUGGUGAAAAGAGUGUGUACAAAUUGUGAAUAAAC
Non-coding RNA from Epinephelus lanceolatus (giant grouper), 9807 nucleotides. Lineage: Eukaryota; Metazoa; Chordata; Actinopteri; Perciformes; Serranidae. The record is from RefSeq and is a predicted model, not a curated record.